GAUGAACGCUGGCGGCGUGCCUAAUACAUGCAAGUCGAGCGAAAAGACGAGGAGCUUGCUCCUCUGACGUUAGCGACGGACGGGUGAGUAACACGUGGAUAACCUACCUAUAAGACUGGGAUAACUUCGGGAAACCGGAGCUAAUACCGGAUAAUAUAUUGAACCGCAUGGUUCAAUAGAGAAAGAGGGUUUUGCGGUCACUUAUAGAUGGAUCCGCGCCGCAUUAGCUAGUUGGUGAGGUAACGGCUUACCAAGGGAACGAUGCGUAGCCGACCUGAGAGGGGGAGCGGCCACACUGGAACUGAGAGACGCACCAGGAUCGUACGGGGGGCAGCAGUAGGAAAUCUUGCGGAAGGGGCGAAAGCCGGACGGAGCAUCGCAGCGUGAGUGAGGAAGGCCUUCGGCGCGUAAACCGCUGUUAUUAGGGAAGAACAAAUGGGUAAUUACCUAGGCUCGUCUUGACGGUACCGAAACAGAAAGCCACGGUUAAUUCCUU
This 496-nucleotide ribosomal RNA is filed under the name uncultured bacterium. Its description in RNAcentral is "partial 16S ribosomal RNA". It matches the Rfam family "Bacterial small subunit ribosomal RNA", at positions 28 to 506 of the family's 1533-position model. The record is from RNAcentral.